Small nuclear RNA from Ictidomys tridecemlineatus (thirteen-lined ground squirrel), 80 nucleotides. Its record names the gene U4. It matches the Rfam family "U4 spliceosomal RNA". Rfam says of the family: U4 small nuclear RNA (U4 snRNA) is a component of the major U2-dependent spliceosome. The structure of U4 snRNA from yeast and human has been reported. U4 snRNA presents a k-turn RNA motif in the 5p-SL related to recognition of Snu13 protein. NCBI's taxonomy places the organism in Eukaryota, Metazoa, Chordata, Mammalia, Rodentia, Sciuridae. The record is from Ensembl.
AGCUUUGUGCAGUAGCAGUAUAGUAGUCAAAGAGGUUUAUCCAAGGUGCGAUUAUUGCUAAUUGAAAAGUUUAUAUACUU